UACGGGGGGUGCAAGCGUUACUCGGAAUCACUGGGCGUAAAGAGCAUGUAGGCGGAUUAAUAAGUUUGAAGUGAAAUCCUAUAGCUUAACUAUAGAACUGCUUUGAAAACUGUUGAUCUAGAAUGUGGGAGAGGUAGAUGGAAUUUCUGGUGUAGGGGUAAAAUCCGUAGAGAUCAGAAGGAAUACCGAUUGCGAAGGCGAUUUACUGGAACACAAUUGACGCUGAGAUGCGAAAGCGUGGGGAGCAAAC
This 250-nucleotide ribosomal RNA is filed under the name uncultured bacterium. RNAcentral describes it as "partial 16S ribosomal RNA". It matches the Rfam family "Bacterial small subunit ribosomal RNA", at positions 524 to 773 of the family's 1533-position model. RNAcentral also lists the same sequence under 1 other name. The record is from RNAcentral.